CACGUUUGCGUGCUGACUGCAGGAAUGUCCACCAGAAAUGUUGCCAGAGGAAUUAAUUUAUCUAUACCAUAAGCUGCCACAAAUUGUGUUUUAGAGAAUUUGGCAGUAUGUCCGACCAGCUUCACAAUCGUAGACCACGCCAGCCCAGGACCUCCAACAUCCGGCUUCUUCACCUGCAGGAUCAUCUGAGAUCAGCCAUGCAGACAAUUGAUGAAACUGGUUUUGACCUGACUGCAGUUUGGUGUCGUAACUGACUUCAGUGGGCAACUGCUCACCUUCGAUGGUUACUGGUACCCUGGAGAAGGGUGUUCUUCACGGAUGAAUCCGGGUUUCAACUGGGAUUAAUCCAUGUGAACGAGCUGUUUGCUGUUGUUAACAUUGUGAACAGAGCUCCCCAUGUUGGCGGUGGGGUUAUGGUAUGAGCAGGCAAAAGCUAUGGACAACAAACACAAGGGGUUUGGAUCACUACUGGCUGUAAGCGAACGAGUGCUGCGCGUUUCGAGCAAUACUGGCUGUAUCCAAGGCUCAGCCAAUCAUUAACAUAAUAGAAUGCAGCGCUACACGUGACCUGAAGAAAGAAGAGACAACCAAUUUACUACAGCAUCGGUGCGCGUUCUGGAAAGUCAGCUUGCCAGUUACAGCAGCGCGUCCCCUGAACAAUAACGAAGAGGUAACGUUAGGUGAGAAGCCUGACCACGGAGACGGGGAUGAGAAGGUGAUGAAGUGUACUUCAUGAGCUGUAACCAAAAAACUGGAAAGUUUGAGUUGAGGGAGAAGUAUUAGCAUUUUUAAGUAUCUUGCUAGCUGGAUCGAAUUCUCUGUUAGAUAGCCAGAGAAAUGUUGAGCAUAAUUUGCCAAUUUAUCUGAUCAAAUAAUUUAGGUUAUGGUGUGAAAAUUAGCUUGCUAAUAAAGUCAGAUAGCUAACGUUACAACAUCAGAUGAGCUAACAUUAGUAACCUAACCAAUUCACCAUAGUAUUAACUGGUAUACGACUCAAGUUGCUUACUGACCCCGGCAGUCUGUAUGAAAUGUUAACGAACUAACCACUAGCUGUUAACUAAUGUUUUCCCUCUACAGUACAUGGUUAAUUUUUUAGACUGAGAGAAUUAGGUGAAAAUGAGGCGUUGCUUUUUAAACAAGUGGAUUCAGGGAUCAAGUGUAGCUGGAGCUGGGCCUGGCUUAAACUGGUGCCACUAUAGAGCUGAUAGGAACACCACACACUUUCCCCCUUUCUCACUUUUGCUGGCACAUUGUAGAACAGAUGUCCACAGGCAGAAAGUGUCCAAUUUUAAUAAUGUGCAGUGUUGCCUAAAGACAUUGUUUUUGUUGUGUUGAACUUGACAGUAACACACGUGUGUGUGUGUGUGUGUGAGGGGGAUUAUACUUUUUUAAAUUCAGUGAACGUUGUUUUUGCACACGUACCUUGCGAACAUGAUCGUCUAUAGUGGACACUAUAAUAGAGCAAAACUAUAAUGCCUGUUUGUUUCAUUCUAUUUCUACUUUGUUUUUUUCCCAAGUGCAAUAUUUAUGUGUGCGGUCACAAGUGUUCUAUUAUAAAGGCUUUCAUGGCUAA
Long non-coding RNA from Oncorhynchus tshawytscha (Chinook salmon), 1573 nucleotides. Lineage: Eukaryota; Metazoa; Chordata; Actinopteri; Salmoniformes; Salmonidae. The record is from Ensembl.